RNAcentral lists this ribosomal RNA (454 nucleotides) under uncultured bacterium. RNAcentral describes it as "bacterial SSU rRNA". It matches the Rfam family "Bacterial small subunit ribosomal RNA", at positions 29 to 526 of the family's 1533-position model. The record is from RNAcentral.
AGCGAACGCUGGCGGCAGGCUUAACACAUGCAAGUCGAGCGGGCGUAGCAAUACGUCAGCGGCAGACGGGAGAGUAACACGUGGGAACAUACCUUUUGGUUCGGAACAACUGAGGGAAACUUCAGCUAAUACCGGAUAAGCCCUUACGGGGAAAGAUUUAUCGCCGAAAGAUUGGCCCGCGUCUGAUUAGCUAGUUGGUGAGGUAACGGCUCACCAAGGCGACGAUCAGUAGCUGGUCUGAGAGGAUGAUCAGCCUCAUUGGGACUGAGACACGGCCCAAACUCCUACGGGAGGCAGCAGUGGGGAAUAUUGGACAAUGGGCGCAAGCCUGAUCCAGCCAUGCCGCGUGAGUGAUGAAGGCCUUAGGGUUGUAAAGCUCUUUUAACGGGGAAGAUAAUGACGGUACCCGUAGAAUAAGCCCCGGCUAACUUCGUGCCAGCCGCCGCGGUAACAC